Molecule: ribosomal RNA, 253 nt
Filed under: uncultured bacterium
Lineage: Bacteria
Description: partial 16S ribosomal RNA
Rfam family: Bacterial small subunit ribosomal RNA
Source: RNAcentral
UACGAAGGGGGCUAGCGUUGCUCGGAAUUACUGGGCGUAAAGCGCACGUAGGCGGAUUGUUAAGUCAGGGGUGAAAUCCCGGAGCUAAACUCCGGAACUGCCUUUGAAACUGGCAAUCUUGAGUCCGGGAGAGGUGAGUGGAACUGCGAGUGUAGAGGUGAAAUUCGUAGAUAUUCGCAAGAACACCAGUGGCGAAGGCGGCUCACUGGACCGGUACUGACGCUGAGGUGCGAAAGCGUGGGGAGCAAACAGG